RNAcentral lists this transfer RNA (70 nucleotides) under Camelus bactrianus (Bactrian camel). It matches the Rfam family "tRNA". From Rfam's summary of the family: Transfer RNA (tRNA) molecules are approximately 80 nucleotides in length. Their secondary structure includes four short double-helical elements and three loops (D, anti-codon, and T loops). Further hydrogen bonds mediate the characteristic L-shaped molecular structure. tRNAs have two regions of fundamental functional importance: the anti-codon, which is responsible for specific mRNA codon recognition, and the 3' end, to which the tRNAs corresponding amino acid is attached (by aminoacyl-tRNA synthetases). tRNAs cope with the degeneracy of the genetic code in two manners: having more than one tRNA (with a specific anti-codon) for a particular amino acid; and 'wobble' base-pairing, i.e. permitting non-standard base-pairing at the 3rd anti-codon position. The record is from Rfam by way of RNAcentral. RNAcentral also lists the same sequence under 2 other names. Lineage: Eukaryota; Metazoa; Chordata; Mammalia; Artiodactyla; Camelidae.
GGGUAUAUAGCUCAGUGGUAGAGCAUGCUUAAUAUACACAAGUUCCUGGGUUCAAUCCCCAGUACCUCCA